UACCCCCAUUUGUUUCUUUUCCCGUUUCUUUUAAUUUCUGAUUUUUCCUUUGCUGUUCCCUCCCCCUCUGUUUCAUUCGCUCUUUGCUCAUUACCUGUGCAGAAGCUGUCUAUUGUAAUUUCUUUCUUCUUUUUCUGUUGUUUGCUCGAGUUUACCCCUUCUUUGCUCCCCAUAUUUGGCUGUGCUCUUGCUCCUCUCAUUUUGUUUUGGUUUUGGGGCUGUCAGUCUCUCCUCUUUGAGCUUUGUCAGAUCUCUUGGUACAGUCUCUAGGGGAGGAAUGUUAGCUUCCCUGUCCUCUGGAGGCUUUUGAUUGGAUUGAGUUCAAUUGGGUUGGGCUGUAUGCGGUAUGAAACUGAGGCUCUGAAAACACCUGGAAGGCUGGGCCGCCCAGGCUCUCUCCAGUUCUCUCCAGCUGCUUCUAGGCUGUCCGCAAGUGCCUUUGCCUUCCCCCUAAACUCUGAGAAGUUCUGAUUGAAUUGACUGGAUUGAUCUGGUUAUGCCCCGAGGCAAAAGUGAGACUGGAGCCGAAUGGAGGGACCCAGCCACGGCCCCCUCUCUCCCUGGCUUCCUCCCUGCUGUCCAAGCUGGAUUUUCCGAGCCCGGUGCCCCGCUGCUCUCAAGGGAAGAUUUGGUCUGACUCCAAGAUGAAAUCUGCCACCAAUCUACCCAGACUUGAGGUGAAGGUUAUCUUCAAGGCAUUGUCUCAGUGCUGCAGAAAGGGCUGAUUGUUUAUACCAGGAAUGUUUCUGUCAAGUUGGAUGGAGAAUGGCACAAAAUGUGAAGACAUACAUUGGUUAGUUGCUUUAUUCACUAAAGAGAUUAUACACAUUGAUGGGAGCUCUGAUCUAUAAAAGCAUCAAAGUGUGAAAUCAGGACUCUCGAUCUAACUCAUUUUUGCUCUGCUUCUGUGACAUUUGACAGUCCUGCAAGAAUCUGUAGAUUGCUGAGAAACCAGCAUCUACUCAACCUGCAAUAAUUAAUUUGCCUUUUAAAGUUUUAUUUCUUCCUAGAAUCUUCCAAUCACAAUUUGGUUACUGUAACUCAAGCUGGCAUACCUUAAUUUAUUUCCCAUCUUUGUAUACUUCCAUUCAUCUUGUUUACUACCUUCAUUUGAUUUUUGUGUUUCUUAAAAACAAUAUAAAAAUAUAAAUCCUUGUGCAGAUUGGGGAGAAUCCUCAUAGCCUCUUUCUAUGUUGAGAGACUUCUUCCUUUAUAACCAUAAAUACUGAGUUAUAUCUCUGCCAAGCAAGACAUUCUGAGCAUGGAGCCAAUUUUUGUUCAACAACAACAAAAUAUACAGAUGAAUAUUCUUGAAAGGAAAGUAG
RNAcentral lists this long non-coding RNA (1325 nucleotides) under Monodelphis domestica (gray short-tailed opossum). RNAcentral describes it as "lncRNA (ENSMODG00000033123.2)". The record is from RNAcentral. Lineage: Eukaryota; Metazoa; Chordata; Mammalia; Didelphimorphia; Didelphidae.